RNAcentral lists this ribosomal RNA (253 nucleotides) under uncultured bacterium. RNAcentral describes it as "partial 16S ribosomal RNA". It matches the Rfam family "Bacterial small subunit ribosomal RNA", at positions 524 to 776 of the family's 1533-position model. The record is from RNAcentral.
GACGUAGGGUGCGAGCGUUGUCCGGAUUUAUUGGGCGUAAAGAGCUCGUAGGCGGCUCGUCGCGUCGACCGUGAAAACCCGCGGCUUAACUGCGGGCUUGCGGUUGAUACGGGCGGGCUAGAGUUCGGUAGGGGAGACUGGAAUUCCUGGUGUAGCGGUGAAAUGCGCAGAUAUCAGGAGGAACACCGAUGGCGAAGGCAGGUCUCUGGGCCACUACUGACGCUGAGAAGCGAAAGCAUGGGGAGCGAACAGG